This 663-nucleotide ribosomal RNA is filed under the name uncultured bacterium. RNAcentral's name for it is "bacterial SSU rRNA". It matches the Rfam family "Bacterial small subunit ribosomal RNA", at positions 222 to 898 of the family's 1533-position model. The record is from RNAcentral.
AAGAGGAGCCCGCAGCCGAUUAGCUAGUUGGUGAGGUAACGGCCCACCAAGGCAAAGAUCGGUAGCCGGCCUGAGAGGGCACACGGCCACACUGGCACUGAAACACGGGCCAGACUCCUACGGGAGGCAGCAGUGGGGAAUCUUGCGCAAUGGGCGAAAGCCUGACGCAGCAACGCCGCGUGAGGGAUGAAGGUCUUCGGGUUGUAAACCUCUUUCGAGCAGGGACGAUAGUGACGGUACCUGCAGAAGAAGCUCCGGCCAACUACGUACCAGCAGCCGCGGUGAUACGUAGGGAGCGAGCGUUGUCCGGAUUCAUUGGGCGUAAAGAGCUCGUAGGCGGCUCAGUAAGUCAGGUGUGAAACCCUCAGGCUCAACCUGAGGUCGCCAUCUGAUACUGCUGUGGCUAGAGCCCGGUAGGGGUACACGGAAUUCCUGGUGUAGCGGUGAAAUGCGCAGAUAUCAGGAGGAACACCGGUGGCGAAGGGGUGUACUGGGCCGGUUGCUGACGCUGAGGAGCGAAAGCGUGGGGAGCGAACAGGAUUAGAUACCCUGGUAGUCCACGCCGUAAACGUUGGGCACUAGGUGUGGGACCUUGUCAACGGGUUCCGUGCCGUAGCUAACGCAUUAAGUGCCCCGCCUGGGGAGUACGGCCGCAAGGCUAAA